Small nuclear RNA from Suncus etruscus (white-toothed pygmy shrew), 103 nucleotides. Lineage: Eukaryota; Metazoa; Chordata; Mammalia; Eulipotyphla; Soricidae. The record is from RefSeq and is a predicted model, not a curated record.
CUGGCUUCACAUCACAUAUAUUACAAUUGUAAUGAUAGAGAGAAUAUUAGCAUGACCCCUGUGCAAAUAUGACAUAGAAAUUCGUGAACCAUUCCAUGUUUUU